UAGACAGAAGCCUGUAAGGUUUAGGCACUUGGCUGUUAACCAUGAUGUUAUGGGAUCGAGGCCCAUCUGUCUAG
RNAcentral lists this transfer RNA (74 nucleotides) under Glaucidium cuculoides (Asian barred owlet). Its description in RNAcentral is "tRNA-Asn". It matches the Rfam family "tRNA". From Rfam's summary of the family: Transfer RNA (tRNA) molecules are approximately 80 nucleotides in length. Their secondary structure includes four short double-helical elements and three loops (D, anti-codon, and T loops). Lineage: Eukaryota; Metazoa; Chordata; Aves; Strigiformes; Strigidae. The record is from RNAcentral.